AAGUCGUAACAAGGUUUCCGUAGGUGAACCUGCGGAAGGAUCAUUACCGAGAUAGGGUGCCGGCCUAAACCCCCGGCGCCCGACCUCCAACCCAUUGUCUACGAUACCUUUGUUGCCUCGGCGGGUCGUCGAGCGCCUAGCGAUAGGCCUGCCGCCGUCCGGCUCCGUAGGCAGCCCUCGGUCGCCCCCGCCGAAGGCCACCGAAAAUGAAACCCAAUCAACUUUGCAAAUCCGAACGCCCUCCUGAAGUGAAAUUAUAAUACUUCAAAA
RNAcentral lists this unclassified non-coding RNA (270 nucleotides) under plant metagenome. RNAcentral describes it as "partial contains small subunit ribosomal RNA and internal transcribed spacer 1". The stretch from base 1 to 46 matches the Rfam family "Eukaryotic small subunit ribosomal RNA", at positions 1786 to 1831 of the family's 1831-position model. The record is from RNAcentral.